UCUCCACACUGCAGCCACAUCCUGACCCAGGUCCCAGAGCCCUGCACAUCCCAUCGCACUGAGACAAGUGAGGGGGCCUCAGCCCGCCUGCCUUGGGCACUGCGGAGGUGCCCAGGCCAGGAGCAGGGACAGGAGGCAGACAGAAGCUGGGGCUCGGGGAUCUCGGGACAGGGCCCCGAGCGGCUGGCAGGAGUCGCGGGAAAGGCCGCUGACAGGCUCAGGAAGGGUGCACAGAGAAGCCGGAUGUUAGGAUAAAAAUGCAAGUCCCGGAUGGAUGAAGACAGGGAAACUGAGGCCUGGAGAACGCCAGGGAGCUGCCCGAAUGUCACAGUGCCUUGGGGAGGAAAGGAACUAGACCUCUGGCCUGGAAUUCUUCCUAGAAGAAUUUCUCCAGCCACAGCACAGAGGUGGAGCAGGUGCGGGAUGCCUGGGACUGAUGAACCUCGGCCACCCGCCGUAAUAAGGACAAGAAGCGGCGAUAACUUCAGUGCUGUUCCAGGGACAAAAAGAGUGACUCCAACUCUAGAAGCCAAGGCACUAAGAGGUCCAGCCACCAGCCCAAUUCUAGGAGGCCCCAGGCCCGAGUCAAGAGGAUACCUGAGGCGCACUGGUGAGAAACCACGUGCGGGCCUGAGCCUGACGUCAGCUUCACAGUGGCCCUUGCAAGCUCCACAAAGCCCCUAGAAGGUGGCUGAGC
Chinchilla lanigera (long-tailed chinchilla) is the source of this 697-nucleotide long non-coding RNA. RefSeq lists it as uncharacterized. The transcript is spliced from 3 exons. Lineage: Eukaryota; Metazoa; Chordata; Mammalia; Rodentia; Chinchillidae. The record is from RefSeq and is a predicted model, not a curated record.